RNAcentral lists this ribosomal RNA (234 nucleotides) under uncultured bacterium. Its description in RNAcentral is "partial 16S ribosomal RNA". It matches the Rfam family "Bacterial small subunit ribosomal RNA", at positions 1 to 224 of the family's 1533-position model. The record is from RNAcentral.
UAGAGUUUGAUCCUGGCUCAGAACGAACGCUGACGGCGUGCCUAACACAUGCAAGUCGAACGAGAAAGUCCCGGCUUGCCGGGAUGAGUAAAGUGGCGCACGGGUGAGUAACGCGUGGGUAAUCUGCCUUUAAGUUUGGGAUAACACUGCGAAAGCGGUGCUAAUACCGGAUAUGCUCACAGUUUGAAAUGUCUGUGAGAAAAGAUGGCCUCUGACAUAAGCUAUCGCUUAAAG